AGAGUUUGAUCCUGGCUCAGAGCGAACGCUGGCGGCAGGCCUAACACAUGCAAGUCGAACGGAUCCUUCGGGAUUAGUGGCGGACGGGUGAGUAACACGUGGGAACGUGCCCUUUGGUUCGGAACAACUCAGGGAAACUUGAGCUAAUACCGGAUGUGCCCUUCGGGGGAAAGAUUUAUCGCCAUUGGAGCGGCCCGCGUCUGAUUAGCUAGUUGGUGGGGUAAAGGCCCACCAAGGCGACGAUCAGUAGCUGGUCUGAGAGGAUGAUCAGCCACAUUGGGACUGAGACACGGCCCAAACUCCUACGGGAGGCAGCAGUGGGGAAUCUUGCGCAAUGGGCGAAAGCCUGGCGCAGCCAUGCCGCGUGAAUGAUGAAGGUCUUAGGAUUGUAAAAUUCUUUCACCGGGGACGAUAAUGACGGUACCCGGAGAAGAAGCCCCGGCUAACUUCGUGCCAGCAGCCGCGGUAAUACGAAGGGGGCUAGCGUUGCUCGGAAUUACUGGGCGUAAAGGGAGCGUAGGCGGACUGUUUAGUCAGAGGUGAAAGCCCAGGGCUCAACCUUGGAAUUGCCUUUGAUACUGGCAGUCUUGAGUACGGAAGAGGUAUGUGGAACUCCGAGUGUAGAGGUGAAAUUCGUAGAUAUUCGGAAGAACACCAGUGGCGAAGGCGACAUACUGGUCCGUUACUGACGCUGAGGCUCGAAAGCGUGGGGAGCAAACAGGAUUAGAUACCCUGGUAGUCCACGCCGUAAACGAUGAGUGCUAGUUGUCGGCAUGCAUGCAUGUCGGUGACGCAGCUAACGCAUUAAGCACUCCGCCUGGGGAGUACGGUCGCAAGAUUAAAACUCAAGGAAUUGACGG
Molecule: ribosomal RNA, 860 nt
Filed under: uncultured bacterium
Lineage: Bacteria
Description: bacterial SSU rRNA
Rfam family: Bacterial small subunit ribosomal RNA
Source: RNAcentral